RNAcentral lists this non-coding RNA (22 nucleotides) under Mus musculus (house mouse). Lineage: Eukaryota; Metazoa; Chordata; Mammalia; Rodentia; Muridae. The record is from RNAcentral.
UGCUAACCAGGCCUUACAAAAA